Molecule: ribosomal RNA, 463 nt
Filed under: uncultured bacterium
Lineage: Bacteria
Description: partial 16S ribosomal RNA
Rfam family: Bacterial small subunit ribosomal RNA
Source: RNAcentral
AGCGAACGCUGGCGGCAGGCCUAAUACAUGCAAGUCGAACGGCUCUUCGGAGCAGUGGCGGACGGGUGAGUAACACGUGGGAACGUGCCCUUUGGUACGGAACAGCUGAGGGAAACUUCAGCUAAUACCGUAUGUGCCCCCAUUCUUAGCGGGAUGGGUGGGAAAGAUUUAUCGCCAUUGGAGCGGCCCGCGUUGGAUUAGCUAGUUGGUGGGGUAAAGGCCCACCAAGGCUACGAUCCAUAGCUGGUCUGAGAGGAUGAUCAGCCAACACUGGGACUGAGACACGGCCCAGACUCCUACGGGAGGCAGCAGUAGGGAAUCUUGCGCAAUGGGCGAAAGCCUGACGCAGCCAUGCCGCGUGAAUGAUGAAGGUCUUAGGAUUGUAAAAUUCUUUCACCGGGGAAGAUAAUGACGGUACUCGGAGAAGAAGCCCCGGCUAACUUCGUGCCAGCCGCCGCGGUAA